GUGAGGUAACGGCCCACCAAGGCGACGACGGGUAGCUGGUCUGAGAGGACGACCAGCCACACUGGAACUGAGAUACGGUCCAGACUCCUACGGGAGGCAGCAGUGGGGAAUAUUGCACAAUGGGCGCAAGCCUGAUGCAGCGACGCCGCGUGAGGGAUGAAGGCCUUCGGGUCGUAAACCUCUUUCGGCAGGGACGAAGCGAUCAGUGACGGUACCUGCAGAAGAAGCCCCGGCUAACUACGUGCCAGCAGCCGCGGUAAGACGUAGGGGGCGAGCGUUGUCCGGAUUUAUUGGGCGUAAAGCGCGCGUAGGCGGCUGCGCAAGUCGGUUGUGAAAACCCGGGGCUCAACCCCGGAACUGCAUCCGAUACUGCGUGGCUAGAGGUAGGUAGGGGAGAUCGGAAUUCCUGGUGUAGCGGUGAAAUGCGCAGAUAUCAGGAGGAACACCGGUGGCGAAGGCGGAUCUCUGGGCCUUACCUGACGCUCAGGCGCGAAAGCUAGGGGAGCAAACAGGAUUAGAUACCCUGGUAGUCCUAGCCGUAAACGUUGGGUGCUAGGUGUGGGCGGAUAUCGACCCCGUCCGUGCCGAAGCUAACGCAUUAAGCA
This 605-nucleotide ribosomal RNA is filed under the name uncultured Actinomycetes bacterium. RNAcentral describes it as "bacterial SSU rRNA". It matches the Rfam family "Bacterial small subunit ribosomal RNA", at positions 252 to 866 of the family's 1533-position model. The record is from RNAcentral. Lineage: Bacteria; Bacillati; Actinomycetota; Actinomycetes.